AGUAAAAGUCGUAACAAGGUUUCCGUAGGUGAACCUGCGGAAGGAUCAUUAACGAAGCAGCGCUUCAAAGUCACCCAGUGAACACCAGUAGCCUAGGCUAAAACAAACUCUUGUGUUGUCUCGAAUGUCUAGUUAUUCAUAACAAGCAUAACUUUCAGCAACGGAUCUCUUGGCUCUCGCAUCGAUGAAGAACGCAGCGAAAUGCGAUAAGUAAUGUGAAUUGCAGAAUAGUGAAUCAUCGAAUCUUUGAACGCACCUUGCGCCCUCCGGGGCAUGCCAGUUUGAGAGCCUUUUCAUGCUCGACGAGUAGAUUUCUGCUGGUCGGAUUUGAGCGCUGCCGUCGGCUCGCUCUGAAUGCAUUUGCGGCGAGAGUGCCUGCAGCAACGUGAUAAGUAUUUCGUUGAGGCAGGCAUCCUUGACGCCCCUAAUCGUCUUCGGACACUUCAUGCUAGGCACAAA
RNAcentral lists this ribosomal RNA (459 nucleotides) under uncultured fungus. RNAcentral describes it as "eukaryotic LSU rRNA". The stretch from base 150 to 291 matches the Rfam family "5.8S ribosomal RNA". Lineage: Eukaryota; Fungi. The record is from RNAcentral.